RNAcentral lists this long non-coding RNA (2518 nucleotides) under Gallus gallus (chicken). The record is from RNAcentral. Lineage: Eukaryota; Metazoa; Chordata; Aves; Galliformes; Phasianidae.
GAGGGCAUAGACAUGUCUGUGGAAGGAGAGCCCUGUUUAGGCUUACCAACAGAACACAGCAGCAGUUUUGCUGUUGCCCAGACAAAGGACAGCUGUGUCACAUAAUCACCUUGAAUGGCUUAAUUGGUGAGCAGACCUCUGUAUCAGGUGCAUUCCUCAGUCAGCAUGGCUAGCUUUCAUUAAAGAGCUCUUUUAGCAGAUGUUGAACCAGCUUGACUGAUGCCACAGUAUGCUUUCGUAGGUUCUGGUUCCAGGAAAUGAACAACAUGGUGUGCUGCAUUUCGUAUAUCUAUGAUUUUGUGAGGAGGAGAGACAAGAAAUGUAGAACUGGGUGCUGUUGGUGAGCUCUGCACUGAGUUAUCUGAUACUAAUCAUUUCACUCUGAAUAGCCUCAGUUUACAUUUCUGUAAUUGAAAGAUCUAGCUGGUGAUCUGCUGGGGUAGGAGAUACAAAAUAAUUGGAAAGAAUGAAAAGAAAUUGCACUGUUAUUUGCAGUCUACGUUCUUGGAAAUGAUCAUUUAUUCUGCACACCAUAUGUACACCUCACAUAAUCUAGUCUUUUCUGUACCUGUAUUCUGUAUCCCACUUUUAAGCCUUCCCCAAUCCUUUUAUCUCUGAGGUGCAUACUUAAAGGCAUUCUUGCCCUUAAUUAACUAAGCAAUUAAAAAUCUAUUUAAAAAAACCCACAAACAUUAAUGUGCUGCAUUAAACUUGCCUACUUUUUUCCUAUUGUAGCAGUGGGUAAUAAACAGUAAUCUGCAGGUGUCUUAGAUGUCUGACUGAGACAUUUCAUCUCUAAAUUAAUAUUUGAAGUGGCAGAUACUCAAUCCAGUAUAAUAAUUCAUCAAUGACACUGUGAAACAUAUUCCAGCUUCAUCUUUAGCAUUAAGUCUUUUUUUUUUUUUUUACCUUUCCCUUAAGCUCACUGUUGAGAUGUAUUCCUUGAGUCAAUAUAUAUAUAUAUUUUUGUAACAUCAAAAACGUUGAAUUGAUUAGGAGGGUUUAUCUUGGAUUCAAGGACCGUAUUAUCUCAAUUAGUUUUUAGUGGCAAACUUAAGCAAACUAGAUAAUGCUUCUGUUCCUCACCUAUCUAAAAUUAGAGAUAAGAGUAUUUUGCUGAGAUAAACAAACAAACAAACAAACAAAAGAAAAAACAAACAAAAAAAACCUCACCAAAAACAGUAGUAAGUUGGGUCAGGUAGUUAUUAAAGAAUAGGUAUUAGAAAAAGAAGUGAAAAUACCAACUUGAGUUUCAACUACCAAAAAAAAAAAAAAAAAAAAAAAAAGCCUGGUGAAGGUUGUGUCAGAUUGCCUGUAGUGUAGAAUCUUGUUCUUCUGGAGCUACUGGAACUAAUUCUUCCCUUAUACCAAUUCUACAUUGUCCAGCAGUGUGGCAGCCUGUGAUAAGAGACUCUUCCACAUUCAGGAAAUAAGAAUAGCAGCUGAGCGAAGGAUGUUGCUGAAGACUUAAGCUCUUAAAAGUCAAAAUAUGUAAGUUAAGUCAGACCCCCAACUUUAUUUAAAUGUAGUUUAUAUUGAAUUAUAAUCAUCAUCCUACUUACCUCCCAUCUGCUAAGCUGCUUAGAAAAUAAACAGUAUGUACUGCCUAAGCAUAUGCAUGGAAAAUAAACUGUCAAAGAGCCAUUACAGGAUUAUUCUUUUGUUGUAGCUGUCAUUGGAUGAGAUGAGCUGCUCCUUGUACGCUUGCUAAAUUAUAUGACUUUUUUCUAAACUCCUUGCUUUACAUGCCAAGGUGUCCCUGCUCACUUGUUUUAUAUAACAUAUUAUUGAAAUGAAAUGGAGAAGCUUGAUUCUGCAGCAUUCAUUUCUGCCUGCUAUGUGGCUAAGUAACUUCUGCUUCAGAAGUCUCAUCAUUUCUGUGCCCUAACAACUGGAUUUACAUAUUGCGUGACUGGGAUAUCUUGGAAUGGGAGGCAAGCAACUACUUAAAAACAAACAAACCUGGUGCCUGCCUCUUUUCAUUUAGACUUAAGUCUCUGAUACACUCAUCAGAUAUUUCGGUCCAUGCCACUCUGAUCAGAACCCCCUAUUUGUUAUCUUAACCCUAAGGGGUUUCUGGUUGAGAUUUCUGGGUAAGAGUAGGUGUUUUCAUUUUAUGUUGUCUUAUCCUUCACAACUUGUUUUCAAAAGUAAAGAUAUUUUUCCCCUUCGUGAUUGCUUUGAGGUUUUUUUUUUUUUUUUCCACAGAAAAAUAUCCAGAGAGCAUACAUUAAUAAUGAAAGAAUUUAUGUCAGAUAUUUUUUUCUCUGUUUUCCUUUACAAAAGAGUGGUAUUUUGUAGUGAUUAAUACUAUGUACUGUUCCCAGAAGAAGGCUAAAUGAGUUUUCUGUAAUUAAUGAAGAAGUGAAAAACACUGCAGAAAGAGGUAUUCUAUCUGUUAGCCAAAAUAUUCUUUUUGGACUAUGUAAAGGCAUGGAUUUGAGGGCAUGAGACCACAUAGAGAUCAAACCUGACAAAUAUCAGAACAACAACAAAAAAAAGCUACAGAUAGCAAGAA